RNAcentral lists this ribosomal RNA (37 nucleotides) under Phomopsis sp. CML 1502. RNAcentral's name for it is "partial 18S ribosomal RNA". Lineage: Eukaryota; Fungi; Ascomycota; Sordariomycetes; Diaporthales; Diaporthaceae. RNAcentral also lists the same sequence under 3 other names. The record is from RNAcentral.
CCAGGUCUCCGUUGGUGAACCAGCGGAGGGAUCAUUG